CAAUAGCUACUUGCAUCAUUGUAGAUAUGAUGCAAGAUCGACUAUGUCGAAUAAAAUUCUAGGUAGAAUUAUGAUAAUGACAUUGUCUGCCUAUGUGUCUUGACCAAAUUACGUGCCAGCAGUCGCGGUAAUACGUAGAAGACUAGUGUUAUUCAUGUGUAAUCGGUUUAAAGGGUACCUAGACGGUAAAUCAAGCCUAUAAAAAAUAUAAAUGAAGGGACUAAUUUACUAGAGUUACUUAUGAGGGGGUAUUAAAGUACUACUGGUGUAGAGAUGAAAUUCUGUCAUACCAGCAAAACGACGGCACAGGUAUAGGCGAAAGCAUCCCCUUAUGUGAUAACUGACGUUGAGGGACGAAGGCUUUGUGUAGCGACCAGGAUUAGAUACCCCAGUAGUCAAAGCAGAAAAUGAUGAAUGUCAUAGAUUAGAUAUAUAAGUUUAUUCUAUAAAUGAAAGUGUAAGCAUUCCACCUCAAGAGUAAUUUGGCAACAUUGGAACUGAAAUCAUUAGACCGUUUCUGAAACCAGUAGUGAAGUAUGUUGUUUAAUUUGAUGCCCCGCAAAAAACCUUACCACAAUUUGAAUAUUUAUAUCUUUUAUUGUUUUUCUUCUGAUUUUUCUUCUGAUUUUACUUCAGAUGAAGUAAAAGAAAGAAGAAAAAUAAAAAGAGGCAAUA
This 675-nucleotide ribosomal RNA is filed under the name Alectoria ochroleuca. RNAcentral's name for it is "SSU rRNA". It matches the Rfam family "Bacterial small subunit ribosomal RNA", at positions 376 to 1043 of the family's 1533-position model. Lineage: Eukaryota; Fungi; Ascomycota; Lecanoromycetes; Lecanorales; Parmeliaceae. The record is from RNAcentral.